UAAAGAGAGGGGGUUGACACUGCUCAGGAUGAACGCUGGCGGUCUGCUUAACACAUGCAAGUCGAACGGAAUCCUUCGGGAUUUAGUGGCGGACGGGUGAGUAACACGUGAGAAUCUGCACUCAGGAUGGGGACAACAGCGGGAAACUGCUGCUAAUACCCAAUGUGCCGAAAGGUAAAAGAUUUAUCGCCUGAGAAUGAGCUCGCGGCCGAUUAGUUAGUUGGUGGGGUAAUGGCCUACCAAGACGGCGAUCGGUAGCUGGUCUGAGAGGAUGAGCAGCCACACUGGGACUGAGACACGGCCCAGACUCCUACGGGAGGCAGCAGUGGGGAAUUUUCCGCAAUGGGCGCAAGCCUGACGGAGCAAGACCGCGUGGGGGAGGAAGGCUCUUGGGUUGUAAACCCCUUUUCUCAGGGAAGAAGUUCUGACGGUACCUGAGGAAUCAGCCUCGGCUAACUCCGUGCCAGCAGCCGCGGUAAUACGGAGGAGGCAAGCGUUAUCCGGAAUUAUUGGGCGUAAAGCGUCCGUAGGUGGUGGGGCAAGUCGGCGGUUAAAGACUGGGGCUUAACUCCAGAAAGGCCGUGGAAACUGCACCACUAGAGGGCAGUAGGGGUAGAGGGAAUUCCCGGUGUAGCGGUGAAAUGCGUAGAGAUCGGGAAGAACACCAGUGGCGAAAGCGCUCUACUGGACUGCAACUGACACUCAGGGACGAAAGCUAGGGGAGCGAAUGGGAUUAGAUACCCCAGUAGUCCUAGCCGUAAACGAUGAACUAGGUUCCGG
This 780-nucleotide ribosomal RNA is filed under the name Planktothricoides raciborskii. Its description in RNAcentral is "bacterial SSU rRNA". It matches the Rfam family "Bacterial small subunit ribosomal RNA", at positions 1 to 826 of the family's 1533-position model. Lineage: Bacteria; Bacillati; Cyanobacteriota; Cyanophyceae; Oscillatoriales; Oscillatoriaceae. The record is from RNAcentral.